This 400-nucleotide ribosomal RNA is filed under the name uncultured bacterium. RNAcentral's name for it is "partial 16S ribosomal RNA". It matches the Rfam family "Bacterial small subunit ribosomal RNA", at positions 355 to 773 of the family's 1533-position model. The record is from RNAcentral.
UGAGGAAUCUUGAACAAUGAGCGAAAGCUUGAUUCAGCGAAAUUACAUGAAUGAUGAAGUUAAUUCUUAAAAUUCUUUUUUAAGUGAAAAUAAUGAUAUUAGCUUAAGAAUAAGCAUCGACAAACCUCGUGCCAGCAGUCGCGGUGAUACGGGGGAUGCGGGUGUUACUCAGCAUUACUGGGCGUAAAGCGUAUGUAUGGUGGUUUUUUUUAAUUUUAGUUGAAAAGUAAUAGUAAAACCAUUACAAAAACUUUAAUAUUAUAAAACUUCGGGUGUAUAUCACGUAAAUAGUAUUUAUAGAGUAAAGGUGAAAUUUUUAUAUAAUAUAAAGACUGUCAAAUGAUUAAAAUUAUUUACCAGAAUACACUGACGCUAAAGUACGAAGGCGUGGGGAUCAAAA